AGAGAGAGAGAGAGAGAGAGAGAGAGAGAGAGAGACAGAGACAGAGGGAGGGGAGAAAGAGAGACACCUUACACUAUAUAAUUUGGGACAAGCUUUUCAUUUACUAUAUUUUUAAGCUUGUAUCUACAUGACUAUUCUUGUUUUGUUAAAAAUAUAUGUCUGUAUGACUCCUAUUACUUGAAUGACAAAAGAAAGAUCAUAAUGCUCUCAAGUUACACACCCAGUGGAAUUUUUAGCAGCCUUUGUCAUGCGGAAGAUGGUUUAUCGAUUUUUCUGUUUACCUGACUGAUGUUUAUGUCAGGUUUACGUCAGACAUAUAUUAAAACAAAAUAUUAUGAUUUUCUUAACAGACGUUUUCAAAAUUCUUAUUUUUUUCCAGUGUCAAUGUCCUUUUACUGAAGCCACAGAUUACAGACUUUGAGCAUUUUAAACAUCCAUGCAUUGAUUCAUUUAUUCACUCAUCCAUUCAAUUUAAGAGUCCAUACACUGGCACAAUGAGGCCAAUGACUGGUUUACUAACACUACCGAAUUACAGGCAGUGUAUGGGUAAAGUAUGUAUGAUGUUUUUACUUAAAGCAGCCAACUGGAAAACCUAUAUAUAUAUAUAUAUAAACAUAACAUUAUUAGAUAGCUUACCCAUUGUGACUAUACAUCAAUAGACAACUGAACUACAAAGAAAACCAGGUGAAGUAUAUUUGAUUAUAUACCUAAAUAUGCCAUCACACACACACACACACACACACACACACACACACACACACACACACACACACACACACACACACACACACACACACACACACACACACACACACACACACACACACAGACACACACACA
Long non-coding RNA from Gigantopelta aegis, 840 nucleotides. RefSeq lists it as uncharacterized. The record is from RefSeq and is a predicted model, not a curated record. The transcript has 2 exons. NCBI's taxonomy places the organism in Eukaryota, Metazoa, Mollusca, Gastropoda, Neomphalida, Peltospiridae.